GGCACAUAGGGCUAAAUUAGUGUUUGCUGUUGUUAUCUUAUUAUAUCCCCAUUUCACGGGUGGGAAUAUAUGCUCAGAAAGGUUAAACAACUUGUCUGAGGUCACACAGAUGGGGGAGCCAACUGUCAAACCCUGCUCUGUCUGACUCCAGAGCCCACACCCUUUCUUCCCGCACUGAGGGCUUCUCUGGGCUGACAAGUUUCUCCUGAAUGCCCCAAGGAUGGGGUGUCUUCCCACAGACACUAUUUAUUAAUCCCUUCAGGGCCCAGAUGGAAUGCUGCCUCCCCUGGAAGCUUCCCAGGGCACUUUCUCUCUGCUGCUCACUGGCACACGGUGGGCCCUUCUGGAGAACACCAGAGCUGCCCCUUGUCUCUUCUCUGGAGGGUGGAGAACGUCAGUCUUGCCCACUGUUGUGGUCAUCAACACAGACACAGUCUUAGCUCUCCAGAGACGCUGAGUCCUGACACAGACACCGGUGCCCAGGCAAGCCUCUCGCUGGAAGUCAGACAGCCUGUACUGGCAGAGCUGUGCCUGGAGCUCCGGCCUCCAGACUCCCCACCCAGUGCCUUUCCUCUGCUCAGGACUUCCUCCAUGACGUGAGCACUUUGCAGUGACAGCAGCUCAUUCAAAGGAGAUCUUAGUCACUGUUGGGCUGUGGAUGGGGCUCACCUGUAUCUCUGACCUCCCCACCUCCAUCCCCAGCAGGUGUGGCGCCGGCCGCCUGAGUGCCUGUAAUACAUAGAGGACGACGCUAGAGGGGGACCUCACUGCUUUGAUCCUUGUGACCCAAGGGCUUUAAGCAGCCUCAGAUGAUGAUGAUGAUGAAGAAGAUGACGACCACAUGGCGAUGACGAUGACCACAGCCAGAACUACUAUUUAUUGAGCCAAAUCUCCUUUCAAUAACCACGUAUCAUCUCUAAUCAACGGGUCUUCCCACACACACCCCUUUCUCCUGCUGUGUUCUGCAUCUCAGAAAGUGGACCAUAUCCACCCAGCUACCCAAGCCUGAAACCUGGGCAUCACCAUCAGCUUCUUUCUCCCUCACUCCGUCCCCAUUAUCACCUACUCCUGUCUAUUCUACCUCCUAAAUCUCAACCCAUCCACUUCUCUCCAUUCCCACUGUUUGUCCUUCCCCUCCAAUUCCCCAUGCAACUUACAGAGAGCCCCAGGCUCUUGCCUCAAGCCCUGGUGUAGACCAGUUGUUCCUGAACUUUGCUGCACAUUAGAAUCACUUGGGGAGCUUUGAAAAUGCUUGAUGCUACUCACCCGUCAGACCAAUUAAGUCAGGAUGCUCGGGAGUGGGAGCCAGGUGUCAGUGCAUUUUAAAGACCCCCAGGUGGUUCUGGUUUAUUACUCCAACCUUGCUCUGAGAGGUCUCACACCCUUCACCUGGGCAACUUCUGCUUCAUCUGGCAGGCCUCCGUUAACAUUGCUGCCUCCUGGAAGGCUUCCUGGGUCACACACAGAUUCACAUAACUGCUCCUCCCCCAUCUCGACACUUAGCACGCUGUGUUGUUGCUGCUUUUUCAAGUGUCUGCCUCCCCCACUCACCGCCUCCCCUUCCUCACUGAGUGCAAGGACAGUGCUCCCUGUUGUGUGGAAACAUCAAUGGAGCAAAGGUUUAAAACAACAUGAGAGGCUAGGAACUGAUUGCUGCACUCACCUGUGACCACCCAGCUCACUGUGACCACUCAGCUCACCUGUGACCACUCAGCUGGAGACAACGAACGGACCGACAGGCCACCCUGCUGUGUUCACUGAGACAGCAGACCUACCUACUGUUUCAUCAAUCAGUCUCACGACUAUUGUAAAAGGGACAUUUCAAUGCUAAGUGAAACAUCCUCUCUGGGGGUAUAUAACCUCUCUGUGCAUCCCACUUCUUUGGUGCCCUUUCUUCCUUUGGGAAGAAAGGCCUCAGGCCAUGGUCCUCAGAUUUCAGCUCAGAAUAAACUCACCCAAAUUUUCAC
This 1967-nucleotide long non-coding RNA is filed under the name Equus asinus (donkey). RNAcentral describes it as "lncRNA (ENSEASG00005029867.1)". Lineage: Eukaryota; Metazoa; Chordata; Mammalia; Perissodactyla; Equidae. The record is from RNAcentral.